This 465-nucleotide ribosomal RNA is filed under the name Vreelandella stevensii. RNAcentral describes it as "partial 16S ribosomal RNA". It matches the Rfam family "Bacterial small subunit ribosomal RNA", at positions 338 to 795 of the family's 1533-position model. Lineage: Bacteria; Pseudomonadati; Pseudomonadota; Gammaproteobacteria; Oceanospirillales; Halomonadaceae. The record is from RNAcentral.
CCUACGGGGUGCAGCAGUGGGGAAUAUUGGACAAUGGGCGAAAGCCUGAUCCAGCCAUGCCGCGUGUGUGAAGAAGGCCUUCGGGUUGUAAAGCACUUUCAGUGGGGAAGAAAGCCUUGGGGCUAAUACCCUCGAGGAAGGACAUCACCCACAGAAGAAGCACCGGCUAACUCCGUGCCAGCAGCCGCGGUAAUACGGAGGGUGCGAGCGUUAAUCGGAAUUACUGGGCGUAAAGCGCGCGUAGGCGGUCUGAUAAGCCGGUUGUGAAAGCCCCGGGCUCAACCUGGGAACGGCAUCCGGAACUGUCAGGCUAGAGUGCAGGAGAGGAAGGUAGAAUUCCCGGUGUAGCGGUGAAAUGCGUAGAGAUCGGGAGGAAUACCAGUGGCGACGGCGGCCUUCUGGACUAACACUGACGCUGAGGUGCGAAAGCGUGGGUAGCAAACAGGAUUAGAUACCCCUGUAGUC